Molecule: non-coding RNA, 109 nt
Organism: Glycine soja
Lineage: Eukaryota; Viridiplantae; Streptophyta; Magnoliopsida; Fabales; Fabaceae
Source: Rfam
GAGUGUCAUAUCAUCAUGCCUUGUCACAGACACCCCAUUGCCAUGUCAUUACCUUCAAUGACAUGGUAAUGAUGUGUCAGUGAUUGGGCGUGAUGAUGUGACACUCCAU